This 207-nucleotide long non-coding RNA is filed under the name Hordeum vulgare. Its description in RNAcentral is "long non-coding RNA (HVUL_LNC010037)". The record is from RNAcentral. Lineage: Eukaryota; Viridiplantae; Streptophyta; Magnoliopsida; Poales; Poaceae.
UUUGGUUAGGGUUACAUCUUAUCACGAGGUCGGGUACAAAGCAGGUGUUAGUACCGUACCUACAUUACAAUUUCAGACCAUCAAGUGGCAUGCGUACACUAGACCUGGAACUGGAAGCCACAUACGUACGAACCAAGCAAAUUCCAUUCCAUUCUUAAUUAACGCGUACGUACGAACAAAGCAUCAGAGUGCGGAACACCGAUGGAU